This 252-nucleotide ribosomal RNA is filed under the name uncultured bacterium. RNAcentral's name for it is "partial 16S ribosomal RNA". It matches the Rfam family "Bacterial small subunit ribosomal RNA", at positions 524 to 776 of the family's 1533-position model. The record is from RNAcentral.
UACGUAGGUCCCGAGCGUUGUCCGGAUUUAUUGGGCGUAAAGCGAGCGCAGGUGGUUUAUUAAGUCUGGUGUAAAAGGCAGUGGCUCAACCAUUGUAUGCAUUGGAAACUGGUAGACUUGAGUGCAGAAGAGGAGAGUGGAACUCCAUGUGUAGCGGUGAAAUGCGUAGAUAUAUGGAGGAACACCGGUGGCGAAAGCGGCUCUCUGGCCUGUAACUGACACUGAGGCUCGAAAGCGUGGGGAGCAAACAGG